UACGGGGGGAGCAAGCGUUGUUCGGAUUUACUGGGCGUAAAGGGCGCGUAGGCGGCGCAACAAGUCACUUGUGAAAUCUCCGGGCUUAACUCGGAGCGGCCAAGUGAUACUGUCGUGCUAGAGUGCGGAAGGGGCAACUGGAAUUCUCGGUGUAGCGGUGAAAUGCGUAGAUAUCGGGAGGAACACCAAUGGCGAAGGCAGCUCGCUGGGACGUUACUGACGCUGAGACGCGAAAGCGUGGGGAGCAAACAGG
Molecule: ribosomal RNA, 253 nt
Filed under: uncultured bacterium
Lineage: Bacteria
Description: partial 16S ribosomal RNA
Rfam family: Bacterial small subunit ribosomal RNA
Source: RNAcentral